RNAcentral lists this ribosomal RNA (443 nucleotides) under Clostridioides difficile. RNAcentral's name for it is "bacterial SSU rRNA". It matches the Rfam family "Bacterial small subunit ribosomal RNA", at positions 376 to 841 of the family's 1533-position model. The record is from RNAcentral. Lineage: Bacteria; Bacillati; Bacillota; Clostridia; Peptostreptococcales; Peptostreptococcaceae.
CGAAAGCCUGAUGCAGCAACGCCGCGUGAGUGAUGAAGGCCUUCGGGUCGUAAAACUCUGUCCUCAAGGAAGAUAAUGACGGUACUUGAGGAGGAAGCCCCGGCUAACUACGUGCCAGCAGCCGCGGGAAUACGUAGGGGGCUAGCGUUAUCCGGAUUUACUGGGCGUAAAGGGUGCGUAGGCGGUCUUUCAAGUCAGGAGUGAAAGGCUACGGCUCAACCGUAGUAAGCUCUUGAAACUGGGAGACUUGAGUGCAGGAGAGGAGAGUGGAAUUCCUAGUGUAGCGGUGAAAUGCGUAGAUAUUAGGAGGAACACCAGUUGCGAAGGCGGCUCUCUGGACUGUAACUGACGCUGAGGCACGAAAGCGUGGGGAGCAAACAGGAUUAGAUACCCUGGUAGUCCACGCUGUAAACGAUGAGUACUAGGUGUCGGGGGUUACCCCC